CAGUAGCCGCGGUAAUACGUAGGUGGCAAGCGUUGUCCGGAAUUAUUGGGCGUAAAGCGCGUCUAGGUGGUUAUGUAAGUCUGAUGUGAAAAUGCAGGGCUCAACUCUGUAUUGCGUUGGAAACUGUGUAACUAGAGUACUGGAGAGGUAAGCGGAACUACAAGUGUAGAGGUGAAAUUCGUAGAUAUUUGUAGGAAUGCCGAUGGGGAAGCCAGCUUACUGGACAGAUACUGACGCUGAAGCGCGAAAGCGUGGGUAGCAAACAGGAUUAGAUACCCGCGUAGUCCCUGUCUCUUAUACA
RNAcentral lists this ribosomal RNA (301 nucleotides) under uncultured bacterium. RNAcentral describes it as "partial 16S ribosomal RNA". It matches the Rfam family "Bacterial small subunit ribosomal RNA", at positions 509 to 808 of the family's 1533-position model. The record is from RNAcentral.